RNAcentral lists this ribosomal RNA (1372 nucleotides) under uncultured bacterium. Its description in RNAcentral is "bacterial SSU rRNA". It matches the Rfam family "Bacterial small subunit ribosomal RNA", at positions 28 to 1381 of the family's 1533-position model. The record is from RNAcentral.
GAUGAACGCUGGCGGCGUGCCUAAUACAUGCAAGUCGAGCGAACGGACGAGAAGCUUGCUUCUCUGAUGUUAGCGGCGGACGGGUGAGUAACACGUGGAUAACCUACCUAUAAGACUGGGAUAACUUCGGGAAACCGGAGCUAAUACCGGAUGAUAUUUUGAACCGCAUGGUUCAAAAGUGAAAGACGGUCUUGCUGUCACUUAUAGAUGGAUCCGCGCUGCAUUAGCUAGUUGGUAAGGUAACGGCUUACCAAGGCAACGAUGCAUAGCCGACCUGAGAGGGUGAUCGGCCACACUGGAACUGAGACACGGUCCAGACUCCUACGGGAGGCAGCAGUAGGGAAUCUUCCGCAAUGGGCGAAAGCCUGACGGAGCAACGCCGCGUGAGUGAUGAAGGUCUUCGGGUCGUAAAACUCUGUUAUUAGGGAAGAACAUAUGUGUAAGUAACUGUGCACAUCUUGACGGUACCUAAUCAGAAAGCCACGGCUAACUACGUGCCAGCAGCCGCGGUAAUACGUAGGUGGCAAGCGUUAUCCGGAAUUAUUGGGCGUAAAGCGCGCGUAGGCGGUUUUUUAAGUCUGAUGUGAAAGCCCACGGCUCAACCGUGGAGGGUCAUUGGAAACUGGAAAACUUGAGUGCAGAAGAGGAAAGUGGAAUUCCAUGUGUAGCGGUGAAAUGCGCAGAGAUAUGGAGGAACACCAGUGGCGAAGGCGACUUUCUGGUCUGUAACUGACGCUGAUGUGCGAAAGCGUGGGGAUCAAACAGGAUUAGAUACCCUGGUAGUCCACGCCGUAAACGAUGAGUGCUAAGUGUUAGGGGGUUUCCGCCCCUUAGUGCUGCAGCUAACGCAUUAAGCACUCCGCCUGGGGAGUACGACCGCAAGGUUGAAACUCAAAGGAAUUGACGGGGACCCGCACAAGCGGUGGAGCAUGUGGUUUAAUUCGAAGCAACGCGAAGAACCUUACCAAAUCUUGACAUCCUUUGACAACUCUAGAGAUAGAGCCUUCCCCUUCGGGGGACAAAGUGACAGGUGGUGCAUGGUUGUCGUCAGCUCGUGUCGUGAGAUGUUGGGUUAAGUCCCGCAACGAGCGCAACCCUUAAGCUUAGUUGCCAUCAUUAAGUUGGGCACUCUAAGUUGACUGCCGGUGACAAACCGGAGGAAGGUGGGGAUGACGUCAAAUCAUCAUGCCCCUUAUGAUUUGGGCUACACACGUGCUACAAUGGACAAUACAAAGGGCAGCGAAACCGCGAGGUCAAGCAAAUCCCAUAAAGUUGUUCUCAGUUCGGAUUGUAGUCUGCAACUCGACUACAUGAAGCUGGAAUCGCUAGUAAUCGUAGAUCAGCAUGCUACGGUGAAUACGUUCCCGGGUCU